RNAcentral lists this small nucleolar RNA (132 nucleotides) under Pyrococcus abyssi GE5. RNAcentral describes it as "HgcE RNA (Pab105)". It matches the Rfam family "HgcE RNA (Pab105)". From Rfam's summary of the family: The HgcE ncRNA gene was identified computationally in AT-rich hyperthermophiles. The genes were named hgcA through hgcG ("high GC"). It was also identified as a part of Pab105 H/ACA snoRNA with rRNA targets. The record is from Rfam by way of RNAcentral. Lineage: Archaea; Methanobacteriati; Methanobacteriota; Thermococci; Thermococcales; Thermococcaceae.
GGCGCGCCAUGAACGAGGCGACGUCGCCGGGCGGACAGGGCCCGGUCUCCGGGGCCGCCUGAGGUUGCCGACAACGGCGGGCAAUGAGGGCGGGUGGAUAAGCCGGGCCUAUACCACUUCAAUUCUAACCUU